UGGGGAAUAUUCCGCAAUGGACGAAAGUCUGACGGAGCAACGCCGCGUGAGUGAUGAAGGUUUUCGGACUGUAAAGCUCUGUUGUUUAGGACGAAAGUGCCUGUUGCGAACAGUUACAGGUAUUGACGGUACUGAACGAGGAAGCCACGGCUAACUACGUGCCAGCAGCCGCGGUAAUACGUAGGUGGCAAGCGUUGUCCGGAAUUAUUGGGCGUAAAGAGCAUGUAGGCGGGAAUCUAAGUCUGUUGUGAAAAUGCGGGGCUCAACCCCGUAUGGCGAUGGAAACUGGAUUUCUUGAGUGCAGGAGAGGAAAGGGGAAUUCCCAGUGUAGCGGUGAAAUGCGUAGAUAUUGGGAGGAACACCAGUGGCGAAGGCGCCUUUCUGGACUGUGUCUGACGCUGAGAUGCGAAAGCCAGGGUAGCGAACGG
Molecule: ribosomal RNA, 428 nt
Filed under: uncultured bacterium
Lineage: Bacteria
Description: bacterial SSU rRNA
Rfam family: Bacterial small subunit ribosomal RNA
Source: RNAcentral